This 272-nucleotide long non-coding RNA is filed under the name Salvia miltiorrhiza (redroot sage). RNAcentral's name for it is "long non-coding RNA (SMIL_LNC000835)". The record is from RNAcentral. Lineage: Eukaryota; Viridiplantae; Streptophyta; Magnoliopsida; Lamiales; Lamiaceae.
GGGUCUGGGCUGCUCCUUGCGGGCCUGGGCUUCUCCUUGCGGUUCUGGGCCGCUGCUGGACGGGCCUGGGCGGCUGGGCCGCGUUUUUUGAGCCCAAGCAAGGGCUGUUUUGUUUUUCAGCCUUUUUUUAGGCGUUUUUGGGCUUUUUUUGUCCAUUUUUUAUUUAUUUUAUUUUCUUUUAAAAUAGAAUAGAUGUUGGGUUUCCACGAAUGGGUCACGAAGAAUUUUAAUUCUUUUAUUACUGUUCUUUGCAUGUCGUGGUUGUUAAUCCC